This 492-nucleotide ribosomal RNA is filed under the name uncultured bacterium. Its description in RNAcentral is "partial 16S ribosomal RNA". It matches the Rfam family "Bacterial small subunit ribosomal RNA", at positions 29 to 507 of the family's 1533-position model. The record is from RNAcentral.
AAUGAACGCUGGCGGUAGGCCUAACACAUGCAAGUCGAACGGGAGCACAGGAAGAGCUUGCUCUUACGGGUGGCGCGUGGCGGACGGGGGAGGAAUACAUCGGAAUCUACUUUUUCGUGGGUGCUAACGUAGGGAAACUUACUCUAAUACCGCAUACGACCUACUGGUGAAAGCAGGGGAUCUUCUGGCCUUUCGCUGUGGAAUGAGCCAAUGUCGGAUUAGCUAGUUGGCGGGGUAAGUGCCCACCAAGGCGACGAGCGGUAGCGGGUCUGAGAGGAUGAUUCGCUAGCCUGGAACUGAGAAAGGGCACAGACUCCUACGGGAGGACGCAGUGCGGAAUAUUGGACAAAGGGGGAAAGCCUGAUACAGCCAUACCGCGUGGGGGAAGAAGGCGUUCGGGUUGUAAAGCCAUUUUGUUGGGAAAGAAAAGCAGCAGGUUAAUCCCCCGCGGUUAUGACGGUACCCAAAGAAUAAGCACCGGCUAACUUCGUG